CAGGGAUAUUAUGGAGGUAACAGAGGCAAAGAAGCACCACUCUGACAUGGAAAAUAAUUUCCGUUGUCAGAUUAUUCUUGUUUAACUGGGUUUAACUUUAUAGUAGGGUUAAAUGUGGCCUUUGAAGGUUGGUGAGUAACAACAUCUUUUAAAACAUGGUGAAUUCCAACAAGAAAAGACCAAGGCAACAGACGCAUGAGAGUGAGGUAUUUACCUGAGGGCGAUUGAAGUCACCAGCUUAACAGUGGAAAGACCUUAAGCCAGAGAACUCCAGGUUCAAGAACCACCACCUGCAAACUUGGCAAAUUUGGACAAAUGUCUCUCUGAGUUUCAUUGUCUUCAUCCACAAAUAAAGCAAGAUUACUUCACCUACAGAAUUGCGGUGUGCUGCAGAUGGCAUCAACGCUUUUCUCCUAAAAAGAACUCAACUCAG
This 433-nucleotide long non-coding RNA is filed under the name Pan troglodytes (chimpanzee). RNAcentral's name for it is "long non-coding RNA NONPTRT010814". The record is from RNAcentral. Lineage: Eukaryota; Metazoa; Chordata; Mammalia; Primates; Hominidae.